AUAAACAUGAGAAAAGAGUCGUAUCUUCACUUAAAAUGCAUCUUGAACAAUCGGGUCCCACUUAGCGAGGACCCCUAUGACACCGGCUGUCGCAAUGCCUUGGCGCAAGAUGCAACGGGGGCAGUUGUCCCGAACGAAGGACACGAGACAUUUGCUUUGUAUGCCGAGGUGAAAUACUACUUGGAGACUGGAAAUUACCACGAGGAGAGUGAGAUCUGAUGUUGAAAGGAAGAGAGUUGUGAGACGUGCUUCAAAGAAGUUCAAGGUUCAGGGGAUGGAUUUGAUGGGGCCAUUUCCAGUCACUCCUCAGGGAAACAGUUAUGUCCUCACAAUGACAGACCUCUUCACAAAGUGGGUUAUUGCUGAGCCAUUGAAGAAUAAGACUGCACCUGAGGUAGCAGCGGUGGUUUAGGACCAACUGUUUGGAUUUGGAUUGGUGGAAAGAAUAAUCACAGACCAAGGGAGGGAGUUUGUGAACCAGGUCAACGAGGAUAUGUUAGAAAGUCCUGGGUGUGACAUCAGCUUACCCCCAGUCUAAUGGACAGGAUGAGAGGACCAACCAGACCAUUAAGAGGGCAUUGUCUAAGUAUUACAACGACAAGCAGAAUGACUGGGACAAACAUUUGAAAGGUGUGGUGUAUGCUAUCAACAUCUCAAAACAAGGAUAUGGAACUGUUCCACACUUGAACAGCUCUGUGUUCUAAGGUUCUGAACAAUAUAGAAAAUGCCAAGCAAAAGCAAAAGGAAAAAUGUGAAAUCAUUUCACAUCCAUGAAGGGGAAGAAGUACUAAAAGCCAACAAGCGAAAAGAGGGGCACAAAGGUGGACGCUUGGAGAGCAACUGGACUGGGCCUUUUCUUGUGAAAGACAUUACGAAGAAAGGGCUGGCUACCCUUUCUGACAAAUCAGGCAACAUUCUCUGUCAAAAAACAAAUGUUUCUCAACUGGAACCCUUUCUGAGAUGCAAUAUCAAGAUGGAUGUGCACCGGUCAUCCAUCCAGAGGGCUUCUGUGCCUACAAUCGGACACUGGAAUAGGAUCAAGCAUCCCUGCCACAUGACAACUGGAUAAGUGGCUUGGAGAAUGGAUAAAUAACACUUAUUGUUACAAAGUAGAUUUAAAUCAGUAAUUUGAGUUCUGUUGUACCAAAGUGCAAAGUUACAGAAAUACAAAUAAAAAAUUCUAUAGAUUUUAAAAAAUAAUUUGUGAAAAAUCCAAUGUGUUCACAGAAAUCGUUCCAUUUUCCAUUGAUCACUUAAAAAUUUUGGAGCUGGAAGAGGUAGGAUAACAGCAGGCUCCAUUUAAAUUAGAGCGAUUAUAUAAAUUAUUGUUAUUAUUUUUUUAAGGAAAUGUUUCUGAGAAUAAACGAGGAAAUGGAUCGGAUGAUUAACUUUGCUCGAUGUAAGGCCACACUGUAAGAUUUUGAAAGACUGUGUCCACAAAAGAAAAGUUUUCCAUGGCUAAAUGAUGACGUUAGUAUCUAUAUUUUAACUACUUUUAUCUGCUAAAGACAUAAUUGUGACGAGUGGGGCGGGCCGAGAGCCCG
Molecule: long non-coding RNA, 1544 nt
Organism: Carassius gibelio (silver crucian carp)
Lineage: Eukaryota; Metazoa; Chordata; Actinopteri; Cypriniformes; Cyprinidae
Exons: 6
Source: RefSeq, a predicted model, not a curated record